AAUUAAUAUAAAUUAAUAUUAUUAAUUAUAUUAAUUUAAUAAUAACAUUAAAUAAAAUUUUAAUUUUUUAGUAAAAUAUAAAUUAAUUAAAUAUUUAAUUUUUUUAUUAAAACAAAUAAAAAAUUAUCUAAAAAACUAGGAUUAGAUACCCUAUUAUUAUAAUAUAAAUUAAAAAAUUUAAGUAUUAAUUAUUAAUUUACUAAACUUAAAAAAUUUGACGGUAUUUUAAAUUUAGAGGAAUUUGUAAUUUAAUUUGAUACCCCACAAUUUUAUAAACUUAUUUUUUAUAUUUAUAUACUUCUGUUUAAAAUUAAUUUAUAAAUAAUUCUUAAGUAAUUUUAUAUAGAUAAAAUUCAAGUCAAAGUAUAAUUUAUAAAUAAGAACUUAUGAAUUACUUUAAUAAAAUCUAAUAAAUAUAUUAACUUAUUUAACUAUAGAAUUUAAUAAUAAAUUUUAAAUAAAUAUUAAAAUUAAAAUUUUUUUAAAAUAUGUACAUAUCGCCCGUCACUCUCAAUAUUUGAGAUAAGUCGUAACAAAGUAAAAUUACUGGAAAGUAAUUUUAGAAUU
RNAcentral lists this ribosomal RNA (567 nucleotides) under Ichneutes sp. QL-2013. RNAcentral's name for it is "partial 12S ribosomal RNA". Lineage: Eukaryota; Metazoa; Arthropoda; Insecta; Hymenoptera; Braconidae. The record is from RNAcentral.